CUUGGCCUACGGGAGGCAGCAGUGAGGAAUAUUGGUCAAUGGGCGAGAGCCUGAACCAGCCAAGUCGCGUGAGGGAGUACUGCCCUAUGGGUUGUAAACCUCUUUUGUCGGGGAGCAAAAGCCGGACGUGUCCGGCUGUGAGAGUACCCGAAGAAAAAGCAUCGGCUAACUCCGUGCCAGCAGCCGCGGUAAUACGGAGGAUGCGGGCGUUAUCCGGAUUGAUUGGGUUUAAAGGGUGCGCAGGCGGAUUUUUAAGUCAGCGGUCAAAUCGCGGGGCUCAACCCC
RNAcentral lists this ribosomal RNA (285 nucleotides) under uncultured bacterium. RNAcentral describes it as "partial 16S ribosomal RNA". It matches the Rfam family "Bacterial small subunit ribosomal RNA", at positions 331 to 616 of the family's 1533-position model. The record is from RNAcentral.